CCAAUUAAAAAGCUUGGAAUAGAACGUCGACGCUCCUCUUAACACGUUAGCUAGCUGUGCUGCUACCCGGUAAGAUGCUAGCAUUGGUCCUCCUCUUGCUUUGUUGAGAACGGUUUGGUGCCCCCUACGUACUUGACUGCACACCGACAUGGCUGAUUUGCCAUAUGUGGCCUCUGGCACAAGAAAAGGUGCAAGAUCAAUCUUAGAACAUCCAAAACUGAGAGCCACUUGUCACGCUCCAGGUUAUUUCACCUCUAAGACACAAGUCAAGGCAUCUCAAGGGGAGGACGACAUGGGAUGGACUGGUAAGUUGUACUGUGAUUGGUAGGUAGGUAGGUAGAAUAUUGGUAGGGUUCGGCAGUUCCGAUUCUUUGUUUCUAUGCCAGUUCCUAAUAAUUCUUGAUUCUGAAGGGUUAGGGUCUGCUAGAUUAAGGGUCAUAAAAGUUUGCAUGGUUUAAAUGAGGGCUCUAACCUGAAUUCUUUUUGAAUGAGAUGUCUGAACUUCUCUGUGAAUUUAACAUGACUCCAUGCCCAACCUCUAAACCUUGGUAAUAAUGAGCACAGAGGCUAAAGAAUAUUUGUUUGUAAAUUAUAUGAUUUAUCAGAGUACAGAUCAUUGUCUUGGGAUCAGUAGGUUGAUAUUAAAUUCUGAGGGGAUGUGGAAAAUGUCUAUUCAUCAAAAUUGGGUGUAGUACUUCAAUGCAGCCAGUAGAGGUGCUGUGUAUCUGCAGUCCAAAUUUUAGCUACAUGCUGGCAGACUUUUGUGGGAAAAAAUGCAUGCCUCUAUGGUUUCUAAAACUGUAUUUAAAAUGUUAUAGUAAUCAAAACAUAUUGCCACCCCUGAAAAUUGUCUUCAAGCAUGUCUGUUUUUUGUUUACCCCAACAUUUUAAAGAUAUAUUUAAGGGGAAAAAUCACAUUAACACUGCCAACAUUUAUUUAUUGUGCAGUUCCAAAAAUAAAAGAAUGUCCACAUACAAGCGUCUCCUUGUGUCUUUCCGCCUAUAGAUGGCAGUAGCAACGCACACUAGAGCUGCUCUCUUUUUGGUGAUGAAAUAUUCCUGGGGAUUUCUUCCUAAAACUGCUGGAACAAGGAGGUCGAUGUUACUCAUCUAAUUAUACUCACUUGUCUCUACAGUGCGUUUUAAGCCAGCGGGGUAAAAAUAUGUAUAUGAAUGGGGUCAUUGUGUUUUCAGUGAAAGAGAGCGAGUCCACAGAGUGUCUUUUGGAAGCCAAAUAGAGUGGUAAUUAUUUUCCUGUCCGUCUGCAGCUGUUUUUCUCUCCGCUCUCAGGCUUGACGUUGCCAGGAAACGAGAGAAGGCUACAUUCUCUAGAAUGAAAAAUACACAACACCGCCCACAAAGUAGAGAGUGGAUACUGUGUGCAAGAUGUCCCACUUUCCAUGAAGUCAUGCAUACGGUCUUGCAGAGUCAUUGACUUGUGUGCAUGUGCACAGGAAGUGAUUUGUUGUUUGUGUCCUUGGGGCAGGGAAAAUAUGGUCUAGAAGAGUUGGAAAUUACAACAGGAACCCCUUUUCUCUCUACUUGACACUUUGUAAACAUUUACCACUUAUCCUGUUGGCUUGAGAGAGCUGAAGGAUACCCAGCUGGCACCGGCUGUGUCACAGAAGAAAUACACCACUCACAUUUCAGCAACCAUUUCUAUUGCUUUCUUAAAGGACAAUACUGACAAUGUGCAAGUGUGAUAUAACUAAUAGUCUGUCAACUAUUUGGAUUUACUGUCAUUGAAUGAGACCAAUUGCUAUUUUCUUGAAUCCUCUUGCAUUAUGAACUCACUAGUGGAAUUUCGGAAAUUAUGUUAGUGAGUAAACCUGACUGGAAUGGACUAAAGUAAUUGAAAAUGUACCUACCGCUUGCAGUUCAUGCAAGACACUGUUUUAUUGACAGCUCCUCCACAAAAUAGGCAGCCCUCUUCACAGAAAGUUGUGUGCUGCAGUGAAAUGUGUCCAAGC
Molecule: long non-coding RNA, 1970 nt
Organism: Doryrhamphus excisus (bluestripe pipefish)
Lineage: Eukaryota; Metazoa; Chordata; Actinopteri; Syngnathiformes; Syngnathidae
Source: RefSeq, a predicted model, not a curated record